Molecule: non-coding RNA, 167 nt
Organism: Pelobates cultripes (western spadefoot toad)
Lineage: Eukaryota; Metazoa; Chordata; Amphibia; Anura; Pelobatidae
Source: the annotation of a GenBank genome assembly
GCAGACACAUUCCAGCCAAUCAGCAGCAGACCCUCCCUCCCAGACCCUCCCACCUCCUGGACAGCAUCCAUUGUGAAGCUGCAUUCUUAGUGAGCUGUCCAGGAGGUUGGAGGGUCUGGGAGGGUCUGGGAGGGAGGGUCUGCUGCUGAUUGGCUGGAAUGUGUCUG